CCGCUCUUCUAACAACUUAAUCUGCCCGGGGCCCUAGCUACUGGCCAAGGAGGAGGUACAAAAGCACUGACAUGCACAGUCUGGAAAAGAAAGCCAAGGAACUCACUGUCCUAUCAGCAUUUCCUUUGUCCAAGUCAGAUGCAUACAACAGGCUCCCUUUGCAACCGCUCACUGGCCACGGAUUCCCCGUGAUCGAGGAGCUUGGAACUAAAUCAUUCCCAAUGCUCUUGUACAUUUUAAAUGUUCCCCAGUAUUCCUUCUUAAGGAUAUAAAGUGAAAGAUCUAGAAAGUGAAGGAUCUGACGCUGCUACUUAUUGUCUCUGUGGCCUUGAAAAAAUCUCACUUAACCUCCCUGGGCCUCCGUGUACUGGUCUGUAAAAUGGGCACAAUAACCACAUGAGAAAUGUGAAGGACGUCUUCUGUACAUUAGCUGACCCACAUUAAGUACUCGGAAUAUGGACCCGGCUAGGAUGUGGCUUUCUGGCUUCCCUCCCCCCUUCCCCAGCCUUUGCAGCGAGGUGUCACCAUUGGACGCUGCUCUCGCCAGGCUGGGAGCGGAAGUGAGGGGAUGUUGGCAAACAAGACCGAACAUGGCUGGAGGACCAGAAAUCAUGAGGAAUGUGCAGAACAGCUGAAGAAAGGAUGCGCAGAUGGAAGGUACAAAGUCCGAGCGGUUCCCGACGAGGGAUGCUCCAGAAGCGGACCCCGAGGACGCCCAAGGCCCAGAGCCGGUGUGGGCUGCAAGCAGGACGACUGGCCGGCAUUCUGGGAACUGAGCGGCCAGGUGAGUCCUCCCACCCCAGGUCCACACCAAGCACCGGGGAGCCCAGGCAUCCACCUCCAGGAAGGAGUCACGAGGGCAGGGACCUGGACCAGAAAGUUGAGGCAGUGAGGAGGCAAACACCCAGAAAACCAGAAACCAAUGCACCUCUCUCGUCACAGCAUCCCUGGGUCCCUUACAGGGAUGUGAGGAAGC
Molecule: long non-coding RNA, 976 nt
Organism: Mustela lutreola (European mink)
Lineage: Eukaryota; Metazoa; Chordata; Mammalia; Carnivora; Mustelidae
Exons: 3
Source: RefSeq, a predicted model, not a curated record